UACGUAGGGGGCAAGCGUUGUCCGGAUUUAUUGGGCGUAAAGAGCGUGUAGGCGGCUUUACAGGUCCGUUGUGAAAACUCGAGGCUCAACCUCGAGACGCCGGUGGAAACCGUAAAGCUAGAGUCCGGAAGAGGAGAGUGGAAUUCCUGGUGUAGCGGUGAAAUGCGCAGAUAUCGGGAGGAACACCAAUGGCGAAGGCAGCUCGCUGGGACGGUACUGACGCUGAGGCGCGAAAGCGUGGGGAGCAAACAGG
RNAcentral lists this ribosomal RNA (253 nucleotides) under uncultured bacterium. Its description in RNAcentral is "partial 16S ribosomal RNA". It matches the Rfam family "Bacterial small subunit ribosomal RNA", at positions 524 to 776 of the family's 1533-position model. The record is from RNAcentral.